Molecule: microRNA precursor, 110 nt
Organism: Gallus gallus (chicken)
Lineage: Eukaryota; Metazoa; Chordata; Aves; Galliformes; Phasianidae
Source: Ensembl
UUUUCUUUGUGUCAGCUGUUCCAAGAACAGAUGACAUCAGCGUGACCACUUCUGAAGCUGAUGUCCUUUGGCCUAGGAGUCACUGUUGCAAACAUUGUGCUGAUACUUGA